Molecule: ribosomal RNA, 261 nt
Filed under: uncultured bacterium
Lineage: Bacteria
Description: partial 16S ribosomal RNA
Rfam family: Bacterial small subunit ribosomal RNA
Source: RNAcentral
CACGUAGGGCGCGAGCGUUGUCCGGAAUUAUUGGGCGUAAAAGAGCUCGUAGGCGGCCUGUUGCGUCCGCUGUGAAAGCCCCGGGGCUUAACCCCGGGGUCGGCAGUGGAUACGGGGCAGGCUAGAGGUAGGUAGGGGGAGAAUGGAAUUCCCCGGUGUAGCGGUGAAAUGCGCAGAUAUCGGGAGGAACACCAAUGGCGAAGGCAGCUCGCUGGGACGGUACUGACGCUGAGACGCGAAAAGCGUGGGGGAGCAAACAGG